CAGUAGCCGCGGUAAUACGGAGGAUGCAAGCGUUAUCCGGAAUGAUUGGGCGUAAAGCGUCUGUAGGUGGUUUAUUAAGUCUACUGUUAAAUAUCAGGGCUUAACCCUGAAUCGGCAGUAGAAACUCAUAAGCUUGAGUACGGUAGGGGCAGAGGGAAUUCCCGGUGUAGCGGUGAAAUGCGUAGAGAUCGGGAAGAACACCGAUGGCGAAAGCACUCUGCUGGGCCGAAACUGACACUGAGAGACGAAAGCUAGGGGAGCAAAAGGGAUUAGAUACCCCAGUAGUCCCUGUCUCUUAUAC
RNAcentral lists this ribosomal RNA (301 nucleotides) under uncultured bacterium. Its description in RNAcentral is "partial 16S ribosomal RNA". It matches the Rfam family "Bacterial small subunit ribosomal RNA", at positions 509 to 807 of the family's 1533-position model. The record is from RNAcentral.